Molecule: ribosomal RNA, 253 nt
Filed under: uncultured bacterium
Lineage: Bacteria
Description: partial 16S ribosomal RNA
Rfam family: Bacterial small subunit ribosomal RNA
Source: RNAcentral
UACGGAGGAUGCAAGCGUUAUCCGGAAUGAUUGGGCGUAAAGCGUCCGCAGGUGGCUGUGUAAGUCUGCUGUUAAAGAGUGAGGCUCAACCUCAUAAAGGCAGUGGAAACUACAUGGCUAGAGUGCGUUCGGGGCAGAGGGAAUUCCUGGUGUAGCGGUGAAAUGCGUAGAGAUCAGGAAGGACACCGGUGGCGAAAGCGCUCUGCUAGGCCGCAACUGACACUGAGGGACGAAAGCUAGGGGAGCGAAUGGG